UACGUAGGGUGCAAGCGUUGUCCGGAAUUAUUGGGCGUAAAGAGCUCGUAGGCGGUUUGUCGCGUCUGCUGUGAAAACCCGAGGCUCAACCUCGGGCCUGCAGUGGGUACGGGCAGACUAGAGUGCGGUAGGGGAGACUGGAAUUCCUGGUGUAGCGGUGAAAUGCGCAGAUAUCAGGAGGAACACCGGUGGCGAAGGCGGCGACCUGGGACAAUACUGACGCUGAGGAGCGAAAGCGUGGGGAGCGAACAGG
This 253-nucleotide ribosomal RNA is filed under the name uncultured bacterium. Its description in RNAcentral is "partial 16S ribosomal RNA". It matches the Rfam family "Bacterial small subunit ribosomal RNA", at positions 524 to 776 of the family's 1533-position model. The record is from RNAcentral.